AACGAACGCUGGCGGCAGGCCUAACACAUGCAAGUCGAGCGCCCUUUCGGGGGAGCGGCGGACGGGUGAGUAACGCGUGGGAAUAUGCCCUUCUCUACGGAAUAGCCUCGGGAAACUGAGAGUAAUACCGUAUACGCCCUAUGGGGGAAAGAUUUAUCGGGGAAGGAUUAGCCCGCGUUGGAUUAGGUAGUUGGUGGGGUAAUGGCCUACCAAGCCGACGAUCCAUAGCUGGUUUGAGAGGAUGAUCAGCCACACUGGGACUGAGACACGGCCCAGACUCCUACGGGAGGCAGCAGUGGGGAAUAUUAGACAAUGGGGGCAACCCUGAUCUAGCCAUGCCGCGUGAGUGAUGAAGGCCUUAGGGUUGUAAAGCUCUUUCAGCUGGGAAGAUAAUGACGGUACCAGCAGAAGAAGCCCCGGCUAACUCCGUG
RNAcentral lists this ribosomal RNA (431 nucleotides) under uncultured bacterium. Its description in RNAcentral is "partial 16S ribosomal RNA". It matches the Rfam family "Bacterial small subunit ribosomal RNA", at positions 29 to 507 of the family's 1533-position model. The record is from RNAcentral.